Peromyscus maniculatus bairdii (prairie deer mouse) is the source of this 601-nucleotide non-coding RNA. NCBI's taxonomy places the organism in Eukaryota, Metazoa, Chordata, Mammalia, Rodentia, Cricetidae. The record is from RefSeq and is a predicted model, not a curated record.
AGAAGAGAUGUCAUAGCGACACAGAGGAAGGAGCCGUGAGAACAUGGAGGUCAACUCCCAAGUCACGCAUCUACAAACCAACAGUAUUCAGCCACAGGAGUCAAUAGCUGAGACACGGGGUACAGAUUCUUUCUCAGAGCCCGCAGGAGCUCCUGUCAUGCUUCAUUUCCUCCUGGGCUAGCAGCACAUCCCCUGGCGUUGCUCAGCUCGGUAAGGAAUGCUACUCUCCAGUUCACAGAUAAAGACACUGGCGCUCAGAACUCAAGUAAUUUGCCCAAAGACACAAAGCAAGUUCAGGCAGAACACAGAGAGAGCUAAGCCCUGCUCUGACUGGUCUCCAAAGUCUGCUGUGGAGAAAUGCAUCUUGGCAUCUCUCUGUCUGCUGCCCUACAACACAUGAAUCGUGCAGCUCACUGCUCGAUGACUAGAAGCCACGUGCCUCACCAUGCACGUGCUGAGGGCGGCAGAGGCUCCCUGCUUCAGAGGCCUGACUGAACACUGAGGAAGGUGAAGACUGGGAGAUGGGCCCCCUCAACAGUGUGCUGUGCCCACUCUGCUACAGUUUCUAUGUGAACUUCCCCCUCUAAAGGCUUUUGUCCUG